AGAAAAAGAAAAAAACGAACAGAACAGACCUUACUAUUCAAGUGUCUUUGAAGAUUUCGCUUGUAAAUUGUAACAACUAACACACUCUCACUAAUCUUUUUUCUCUUCUUUCUUGCGUGAUUAAGGUCAAAUACUCAAAUUUGAAAAUGGAUAGUGGUAACCAAGUCGCUAACAUUGCGACGAAAGGAUGGAAACCAGAUGCGUAUCGCAAAAGGAUUGUAAAAGACAUCGCGAAUGAAUUAAUCAAGCAUAGUUGUCCCAGUUUAAAACUUACGAAUAAUGAGGUUCUUCAACGUGUGAAACGAUUUGAGGCGCAGAUCAAUGAUUCUGCUAAUUCCGAGG
Vicia villosa (hairy vetch) is the source of this 342-nucleotide long non-coding RNA. RefSeq lists it as uncharacterized. The transcript is spliced from 3 exons. Lineage: Eukaryota; Viridiplantae; Streptophyta; Magnoliopsida; Fabales; Fabaceae. The record is from RefSeq and is a predicted model, not a curated record.